CGCCAAGUGCAUCAUGGUCUCGCUUCCUGUUUUACGUGCGGGCAAUGUGGAGAUAGUUAGCGUGGAGAGCAGUGUUGUGGGCGGUCCUGAUAAGUAGUAGGUGUCCGAGUGAGUGUUUUAGCUUGUGAAAUCCACGGGAAGGCUCACGUUGGUUUGCAGAAACAAAGGAGAACAACAGCUCCGAAGAGUGUCUCUAGGAUGGUUAUGCAAAUAGGCCAUCUGUCCACAGGGCGUGCUGCUACCAGGCUGCCCAACCACUCUCCACCACCCCGCCUGUCUGCUUCACCCUAUGAGCCCAGAGACACUGCUGAGGGAGUGAUCCCCUGUGGCCCUGCAACCAUGGCAACUCAUUCUACAGAUACCAACUAAAAGAAGUACAUGGAUUCCACAUUCAUCAGGACACAAACACAUAAUAAAUGACACUGUUACAAAUUA
Acanthopagrus latus (yellowfin seabream) is the source of this 435-nucleotide long non-coding RNA. RefSeq lists it as uncharacterized. The transcript is spliced from 4 exons. NCBI's taxonomy places the organism in Eukaryota, Metazoa, Chordata, Actinopteri, Spariformes, Sparidae. The record is from RefSeq and is a predicted model, not a curated record.